Molecule: ribosomal RNA, 235 nt
Filed under: uncultured bacterium
Lineage: Bacteria
Description: partial 16S ribosomal RNA
Rfam family: Bacterial small subunit ribosomal RNA
Source: RNAcentral
UUGUCCUACGGGGCGCAGCAGGGGGGAAUAUUGGGCAAUGGGCGCAAGCCUGACCCAGCAACGCCGCGUGAAGGAAGAAGGCGUUCGGGUUGUAAACUUCUUUUCUCAGGGACGGAGAAAGUGACGGUACCUGAGGAAUAAGCCACGGCUAACUACGAGCCAGCAGCCGCGGUACUACGUAGGUGGCAAGCGUUAUCCGGAUUUAUUGGGUGUAAAGGGCGUGUAGGCGGGGGCG